AAUUUCUUGUUUACAACUAUAUGUGCUAUACUAUUUAUUUUGUUCUAUACUAUUUGGGUUUAGAGUUUAUACUUGGGUUUAGGUUUAAUGAUUAAGAUUUAGGGUUUAGUAUUUGGAAGGUGGGGGUUGAUGUUUGGGUUUAGUGACCGUAUUAUGUAUGUUCUAUUUGACGAUUAAAAAAAAGUGUUUUUUUUUACUUACCAAUUUAUACUAUACUAUGUAUUUUGUUCCAUUCUAUUUGGGUUUAUACUCUAUACUUGGGUUUAGGGUUUAGUGACUAGGAUUUAGGGUUUAGUAUUUGGAAGGUGGGAGUUUAGAUUUGGGUUUAGUGAUAGCAUUUUUGGGUUUAGUAUUCAAAAGUUAGGUCUGAGUUUAGCAUUGAGGAGUUUUGUUUGGAUUUAGUUUAAUAUUAUAUAAUAUUAUAUACUAUUUUCAGAUUUUGAUAAUUGGGUUUAAAGUUUAUAUUUGGGUUUAGGGUUCAGUAAUUAGGGUUUAGGGUUUAGUAUUUAGAUGGAAGGGUGAUGUUUAAAGUUUAGGGUUUAUUAUUUUGGAGUUGAGGUUUGGAUUAAAGUUUAGUAUUUACUAGGUGUGAGUGGAUUUUGAAUCCUAUUAUUUUUAGUAAUAUGGUAUAGGAAAAUUAGAUGUAUAUUUAUGUGUUAAACAAAAGUGUGGUAUUGAUUGAAUUACGUGUGAUAAUUAAUUGUGGGGUGUCAAAUUGUUGAUGUCAUCAGUUUCUCUCUCUAUUACUGGCAACUUGAACAAAAAAGGGCAUUACCGGACAGAAAUUGACAUAAUUGUUAUGGGCUUUAUUAUGUCAAAAUCAAUGCUAUGCACUUAAUUUCCUUCUCAAAUUUGGUCAUUUGGCUAAUUCACCCAAAAAGGAUAUGGUGAUUUAUGAUUUCAAAGAAAAUUUCCCUUAUUAAAUUUAAUAUUAAUAAAAAUUGUUCAAAAUUCCAAAUUAUUCCAAAAUUUAGUUUGAAUUAUUUGGUAAGUGACUUCACGUAAGCUUUUAGUGCAUAGAAAUAUAUCUUAUGAAAUGGUAUUUGAUAAAAUUGAACGGGUCUUUCUUUCUUCGUUUGAACAUUCAUAUAUGCCACACACAAAAGAAUUUAUAAUCAUGGAGGAGAACAAGUUCAGAAGCUAUCACACACACACACACACACACAAAAAAAAAAAAUUGGAUUAUUUUUCUUAUCUUGAUAUUGUUAUGACCCAAUCUUUGCAUUUUGAACCUUUAAUGUCAUUUUGAAGAUAUGACCCAAUAAGAAAAUAUGGCCCAAUCUUUGACAUUUUGAACCUUCAGUGUCAUUUUGAAGAAGCAAGCUUUGUCUUUCAGUCUCGAGAUGGAAAUGGAGUGGCAAAUAUAGUAGCAAAGGAAUGUCUUUCAUUCUUGAAUUAUAUGCUCCUUAGUUGUAUCUGUAGUGUCAAAUUGGGUUAUAACACAAAUACAACAGGACAAUUAUUUGUAAUCUUCUAUUAAAAAGGUUGUGAGAGCAAGUUGAUAUCAGAAUUUUGCUAGACUCCAAGAAAAUGAGUGGUAAAACCUGAAAAAGGUGUUCCUCCGACAGGGAUUGAAGUCACAUGUCAACUAUAGUUUCAAAUCGAUGAAAUGUAUCUUUCAACACUGUAGUUUUGAUUAUAUUUUCCUAUUAGAUUCAAAAUCGAUGAAUAUUUAUCUAUCAUGUAGGUUAUUUCCUGCUAAUAUAAUGACAUUUUGUCUUUUAUUUAUCACCUUAGUUUUAUUUUUAUCUUAUUACUUUUAUAUUUUAAUUAUUAGUAUUAGUUGGGUCUUAAAUUUUAUAACCAGAAUCAGGUUGUGGAUUUAUAUAAGUAGUGACACCUUGACGUGUAUUACUGAAUACAAAGAGAUUUCAUCUUUUACAAUUUUUGUUACAACUACAACUGAGGUUAAACAGAAUUUUGAACAUUAACAAACUAAAUGAGAUACUGUUCAGGAAAAAACAAACAAACUAUAUGAGAUUUUUCGUUUCUACCUUCCGGUACUCUGUUUUUUUUUUUGUUGAAAGAGUUUACUGCACUAUUUUUUUGUUUUGAACUUAUAAUAUGGUUUCGACCGACUUAUGAGAUUUUUAUCAAUUCGAUUAUUAUUAUGAUCAAAAUACACUAUGUGUUCUUCCGAAAAGAGAAAUAUACAUACUACGUAAGAAACUAUCCAUCUUGCUGAU
Molecule: long non-coding RNA, 2186 nt
Filed under: Brassica napus (rape)
Lineage: Eukaryota; Viridiplantae; Streptophyta; Magnoliopsida; Brassicales; Brassicaceae
Description: long non-coding RNA (BNAP_LNC006309)
Source: RNAcentral